CGCUGUUGACAUUUUCGGCGGGAUAACUGUGUUGCUGGAGGUGUCCUGUAUACUAUAGAGUGUUCAGUAGCGCCCCAGGCUGGCCUCCGUCGGUAGCACCCACCCAAGUUUUGACCACCACAGAUGUCUCCAGACAUUGCCGAAUAUCCCCUCGGGGGCAAAAUCGUCCCCAGUUGAGAAUCACUGUUAGGGGAUGGCCUGGGUUUUCGGGAAGUGACCCUUUUAAAAGAGAAGGAAGGUAAAGACAGGAAGCAACGACGUCUUAGCUACGUGAACGGCGCGGCCAGGCUCACCCCCUCUCCCAGCAGCUCUGCGUCCUGUUCCAGAGUGACUUAGGCAGUCGUCGUCCCGCAGUCGGAGCCGCCCCAGAGAAGGAGCAGGUCAGCGUCUUCCAGGAGGCGCCAGCAGCGGAAGCACAGGCGCUGCUUGCGGUCCUGUUCGCCAAGUGGGUCGCGAUCCUGAAGCCGCCGGUACCGAGAGCGGCACUGCGGGUCCGAUACCAAUCCUGCAGCAGGUCCGGUUCUUGGGGGAAGUCCCACUGUAGAAGGGCCUACGAGGGGGCAACGAUCCUUCGCUUUGGCCGCACGGUGUACCUGAAAGAACACAAAAGUUGGAGGGAGAGAUCCAGGACGAGGUGGCGGAGCAGAACCCAUAAUAGAGUGGAGCUGUUAAAAAUAGCAAAAGGCAGGGCAACUAAAUCUUUAGGAACAGCCAACCUUGACUUGCCAGCUAGUCUCAGAACUGUGCCUAUAGCUAAAGAAACAAACUGGAACUGCUGUACCAAAUAAUGCUAUGAAGUUUGAGUGAAUCAAGUGAUGCGUUGAAUCACAGCAACAAGAAGGUGUUGCCCCAGCUCUUAACGUGCCUUCAUUUAAAAGAUGGAGGAGUUUCAGAUCGUCUUCUUGAUUUCUAUGAAGCUUUUAAAGAAACCCCGGAAAACAAAACAAAAAGAUUGCUGAUACCCUGUCCAAAUACAAACUAGACCUUGCUCAUCUUUCUUCAUAUUCAACAGAUAGGGAAAAUGUGAAUUUUGGCUAAUUCCAUUCAGUCUGUAGCCUUCUGACCAAAGAAAAUGACAAGAUCUUACCUGCCAAAUGUCCUGCACACCUUCUACAAGAGGCUGCUGAAAACCAGUGGGAUUUUCUUUCCUGUGAUAUUGAAGCUUUCAUAAUGAAAGUUUUUGGUUACUUUUCAGUUUCCUCAAAAGAAGCAGAAGCACUCAAUGAGAUUUUUAAUUUUUUUUAGAGAUGGAAGGUGAUAGACUCCUUAGACAUGUUCCUACAAGAUGGCUAUCAUUGUUGCCAGCCGUAGAAAAAUGUUAAAAUGUUGGCCUUACCAUGAAGUCAUAUUUUCAAAGUGUGGGAAAAGAAGAAUGCCUUUCUCUCAUUUGGAAAUACACUGAGGAUGAGAAUGGAGAAAAGAAUCACAGUAUAACAGAAAUUUACAUGUUCUUUCUCCAAAGCUGCUUGACGAUGUUUGAAGAGGCCAUAAGAAGCCUAGAAAAAGGAUAAACUGACUGUACCUGAGUUGUUUGAGAUUAUGUGUAGGUUGCAACAAAAACUCAUGCAGCAAAAAAAAGACUCAUUUGUUGGAAAGAACACUGCUUUCGAACUCAAAAAAUGUCACCAGAAAAGGGCAGUCAAGUUAAACAGGACUUUCUCAAUUUCUUCACUAGAGCCAUAACUUUUUUGGAAUCCAAUUUUGAUUUCACGAGUUCAGAUAACCUCUGUGCUUUAAAACCAUUUUUCUUGAGAAAGAAAGGUUUAACUUAUAAUGACAUCCAGUGCGCUUUAGAAUGUUUAAAAAUGAUGGACAUUUUAGACAUGGAUAGCCUGUAUGAUGAAUUUAUAGGUGCAAAGGACCUGCUUGACAAACAGCUGGUCUACCAAAACAAGCCUGUCAGUUAAAAAAUGGAUGGACAUUUUUGGAGAGCCAGAAACUUAAUUCCUACAAGUCUAAAACCUGCUGUUGCUAGUAAGCAAAAUCCUAAGUAUUCCAUGUUCAGGUGUUUUUGUUGAGAGGAUAUUUAACUUGAUGUCAUCACAUUGGACUGACACCAGGAAUCAGUGUAAUGUGGGCUUGAUAAGAGCACAGCUACAAAUCAAAGACACUUUUCCUUUUGACUGUAUUCAGUUUUACUACUGCAUAAAAGGAAAGAAGGAUGUCCGAAAGGUUGCAGGCAGUAUUAUCGGAAAAGGAAACAGAAGAAAUAAAGCGUCCUAUUAUAUCAUGGAACAGAAAGAAACAUACCAUUGUUAUUUUUUAUUAAAUAUAGAUAAUUGUUUAAUUAGUCCUAUCGUAUUUACAUUUUCUUUUUAAAAAGUCUUAUAUUUUUGUGCCUUAAGAAUAUACAGUAAUAUAGCCUACACAAUUUAAAUAUUUAGUGCAGUGGCUUACUUAAUAUGGCCUUUGUGACUCCCACAAAAUGAUUGGGUGGGACUACACCUAUAAGGUGCUUGUGGCCCACCAAGGGGAUUGGACAGCUUGCUGACAAUGCAAAUAAGGUGCAUGGAACCCUUAUGGGAGAGGUGGAACAUGCAAAUAAGGUAUAUGGAACCCUAACGAGGGGAUAAGUCAGUUUUCCCAGCCCAUGGAGUGAGGUGGCUGCAGUGGGCAUGCAGACCCACGGAGUGGAGCGAGAGAGUUGAGUGCCUUUGAACAGGAGGCUUCCUGGCGGAGUGGGGUGCCUCCAGGUAUAUACUGGUGGAGCUGAAGAGCUUUGUAACACUUGUGCGAGCAGGGCAGAGGCCAGGCCAAGGGCCAAAGAGAAGCCUGCUUGCAAACAUGGCUGAGAAGAAACUGUCCUGACCAAAGAACUGUAUUCUGAGCCCUUCCUGGUCCUGAAUUAUAACCUAAGAAACCCUGAAGUAUAGUCUGUAAGUUCUGUGUGGCCGUUGCAAUGAAUUAUCAAACACAGAAGAGAAGUAGAGAGUGCUGUGGGAGGGACAGCUGGUGUUAGAACUGGUUAAAAAGUUUGAAGAGAGGAAGUAUGUCUGACCUCCACCUCAUAGGAAUCAGCCUUGGGCUGAUGUUGAUCUUGAUUCUCUCUCCUCUACCUUGUGAAGUUAGACAAGGAGGUCUGACGCCCUCCACACCAUUUUUGCACUAUGCAAUAAAGUUUUAAAAAGUUAAAAUUAAUUGGUAUAUGAGAGGACAUAAAGACAUGAAAUAUUGCUUAUCUUUCAUGGAGCCCUGGUGGUGCAGUGGUUAAGAGCUCAGCUGCUAACCAAAAGGUCGGCAGUUGGAAUCUACCAGCCACUCCUUGGAAACUCUGUAGGGCAGUUUUGCUGUGUCCUGUAGGGUCUCUCUGAGUCCCUAUUGACUCAAGGGCAAUGGGAUAUCUUUCAUAUGUAUUUGUUUAAUACAUCCUAUUAUUACUAAUGGUUAUGUAAACUAGUCCUGUCGUUUUGUUUAAGUAAUAGCUAUUAUAUAACCGAAAUGUAAAUAAUACAACUGUAUAAAUUUCAAAUAUCCUUGAUUUUCAUGUUAAAGUAAUAACACAUAUAUAUGAUUACUGUGUAUUAUGGUGUUUGGGGGAGGGGUGGCUUUCUCCAGGGUUGGCUCUCCCUACAGUCAUUCCUUUUAUCCUUUUUAACUAUGAAAAUUUGGCCCCUGUUGUAAGUGAAUUCUCUUUCUUUGGGCUUUUUUCCCUCCAGUACCAGAUAUUCUUGGUUAAAAAGAACCACUGAAUUAUUACUUUUGGCUGAGGGCACAAGGAAGGGCCUCGUAGGCUGAGUUGGUCUUAAUAGUCAGAAAUGAGGAAAGGCUUUCUAGAGAAAAACAGCAUUAGAAAAAGAUACAGAAUUGGGGAUGUGUAGAUAAGAGAAAAUGAAACAGAUUAAUUUGACCUGAAAGGUCAGUUGAGAGCAGCUCAAAAAGGGCAUUUUGAAUGUCCAGUUUGAGGUGAUAGACAGUGGGAAUCCCAUUAAAGUCUUAUUUGCACAGGAGAGUGAACUGAUCUGAGCUGCCUUUAAGAUUACUUUGGCAUUAGUUAUGGUGGAAGUAGGAUUUGACUAGCAAUAGGAAGACCCCCUCCCCGCCCCCCGCCAAGGGACUUUGGUAAAGGUACAGGAAUGAAGUGAUGUCAUAGUCAUUUAGUGCUGCUAUUACAGAGAUACCACAAGUGGGUGGCUUUAACAAACAAAUUUAUUCUCUCACAGUUGAGACUAGAAGUCUGAAUACAGGUACCAGCUCUAGGGAAGGCUUUCUUUUUCUGUUGGCUCUUGGGGAAGGUCAUUGUCUCCUUUCAACAUCUGUGGGCCCUGAACCCCUUGGAGAUCUCUGUGUGUCUUGGCUUCAGUCUUCCCCUGGAUCUAGGAGCUUCUCAGUGCAGGAACCCCAGGUCCAAAGGACAUGCUUUGCUCCUGGCUCUUCUUUCUUGGUAGUAUCGAGGUCUCUCUCUCUGCUCUCUUCUCUUUCUUUUUAUCUCUUGUAAGACAAAAGGGGAAACCCUGGUGGUGUAGUGGUUAAGUGCUAUGGUUACUAACCAAAAGGUCAGCAGUUCAAAUCUGUCAGGCGCUCCUUGGAAACUCUAUGGGGCAGUUCUACUCUGUCCUAUAGGGUCGCUAUGAGUCGGAAUCGACUUGACGGCAGUGGGUUUUAGUGGGUUAAGAUAAAAGGUGUGACUCAAGCAAGGGUGUGAAGGGUGGUGACUUAACAAACAUAACCUAAUAUUAAUUAACAUGACCUUUUUUAAUCCUGCCUUAGUUAUCUAGUGCUGCUAUAACAGAAAUACCACAGCUGGAUGGCUUUAACAAAGAGAAAUUUAUUUUCUCACGGUCUAGUAGGUUACAAGUCCAUAUUCAGGGUGUCGGCUCCCUGGAAAGGCUUUCUCUCUCUGUUGACUCUAGAGGAAGGUCCUUGUCCUCAGUCUUCCCCUGGUUGAGGAGCUUCUCAGGCACAGGAACCCCGUGUCCAAAGGACACACUCUGUUCCUGGUGCUGCAUUCUUGGUGGUAUGAGGUCCCCAACUCUCUACUUGCUUCCCUUCCCUUCCUUCUCUUGAGAGAUAAAAGGUGGUACAGGCCACACUUCAGGGAAACUACCUUGGAUCGGGGAGGUGACCUAAGUAAGGGUGGAGUUACAAUCCCACCCUAAACUUCUCAAUAUAAAAUUACAAUCACAAAAUGGAGGACAACCACAUAGUAUUGGGAAUCAUGGCCUAACCAAGUUAAUACACACAUUUUUGGGGGGACAUAAUUCAAUCCAUGACACUGCUUCAUUAAUGUAACUACAAGCGUAGAUGCUAGUAUUUACAACAUCACAAAAUGGAGGAUAAUUACAUCAGAUCACAAAAUGGAGGAUAACCACAAAAUAUUGGGAAUCAUGGCCUACCCAAGUUGACACAUAUUUUUGAGGGACACAAUUCAAUCCAUGAUAGCCAUGAUAACCUGACUGAGAGAAUGGGAUGACAUUGCACUGAACAUACAGGGAGGAACAGGUUUGGUGAGAGUAGAUGUUGAAGUUAGCUUUGCACAAGUUGAAUUUGUCUGACGGCCAGAGCCCUAGGCCUAGAUCUCAGAGAAGAGAUCAGGGCUAAAGAUAAAAGAUUUGAGAUGUUUGCACAGAAGGCGUUGAAGGAGAUGAGAAAAUAAGGAAAAAGAAGAGGGUUCCAGACAGAGUCUUGAGAACUGCCUACAUUUCAGGAAGUGGAAGGAGGAAUAACGAAAAUAAGAUGUGUGAUCACAGAAAGAGAACUAAGAGAGUUCAGUGCCGAAGUAACCAGGGAAAGAAGAGCUUCAGAAAGGAGGCACUAAAAUGAGAAGGAUGAAACUUUGGAAGAGAACAUGCAGCUUCCUUCCAGCUGUUUAGGUGUCAGGGUACAGAUGUAAAGCGUUCUGUGCAUAUAAGGAGCUCCAGUCUUCUGGGAGAGAGAAAAGAAGCAGAAGAAAUAAUCAGUGGCCUGGGAAAUACAAAAUAGAGGUAUAGACAAUUAGAGGAUGGGACAGUGCGACAAAAGGUCCUGAGGUUAUGGGACAUUAACCUGCCCUUAGCCCCCAGCAGUCAUCUCAUGUUAAACACAGGUCAAGAAAUUUAAUACUCUCUCUCCAGUAAACAAAGGAGGUUAUUAAAAGCAGUGACUUUAGAGCCAGCCACACCUGAGUUGGGUGCCUGGCUCAGGCACCUAAUAGGUGUAUAACAUUGAAAAAGUGCUUUAUCCUCUCUGAGUCCUGGUGGUGCAGUGGUUAAAGUACUUAGCUGCUAACUGAAAGGUCAGCCGUUUGAACCCACCAGCCCCGUUGCUCUGUGGGAGAAAGCUGAGGCAGUCUGCUUUUGUGACGAUUACAGCCUUGGAAACACCUUGGUGCAGUUCUACUGUCCUAUAGGGUCACAGUGAGCCAGAAUCCACUCGAUGGCAGUGAAUUUGUUUUUGUAUUUUUUAAUAAGCCGCAGUUUCCUCAGAUUAAUAGCAGUACCUGCCUCACAGGAUUAUGGUGAGAAUUACAUGAGGCAUAGUUAAAAGCACAGUUCCUGGAACCUAUGAAAUAAAAAAUCCAUCUGCUGUCGAGUCUAUCGUGAUUCAUAGCGACCCCACAGGACAGAGUAGAACUGCCAUGUAGGGUUUCCAAGGGGCAGCUGGUGAAUUCGAACUGCCAACUUUUCAGUUAAUAGCCAAACUCCUAACCACUGCGCCAUCUAGGAAAUGUGCAAUAUUUGUUGAAUGAAUGAACAUGAGCUAGUAUUAUUAGGAUCAAAAGCAGGAUAGAAUCAUACAAGGAAGGGCCUUCUGGAGGAGGUGAAACCUUGACGUCUAUGUAAAGAGAAAGGGGUUCCAAGGACACUAACGGAAACCAAUUUAAGCAUAGAGGUUAAGAACAUGGGCUUUGGAGCCAGUCAAACCUGGGUUCAAAUAUCAACUUUGUAGUGUAAGUUGAGCAAGUCACCUAAUUCCAAACCUAGGAGACAAAAAAAUUGAAGCAAAAAUGGCAAAAGUCUUUACAUUAAAUGUGGAAGAUGGGUACAUUGUUGGUUUUUCUUUUCUUUUUUUCUUUUAGAUUUACAGAAAAAUUGAGAAACCCCUCCCCUCUACACACUUAGUUUUCCCUAUUAACAUCUUUGCAUUAGUGUGAUCCAUUUGUUAAAAUUAACAUGCUAAUACUGAUACAUUAUUAUUAGCUAAAAUCCAUUCAAAUUUUCUUAGUUUUUUCCAGUUGUCCUUUUUCUGUUCCAGGAUUCCAUAUAGGAUACCACGUUAGUUGUUAUGUCUCCUUAGGCUCCGCUUGGCUGUGACAGUUUCUCAGACUUUCCUUGUUUUGACGACCUGGGCAGUUUUGAGGAGCUGGUUAGGUACAUUGUAGGUGUUUUUUGUAUGUAUGUAACAACAUUUCGUGAUUAAAAAUUACUAAUCAUAUGGCAUUCAUGAUUAAAAAUUACUAAUCAGGUGGCAUAAUAAUACCUAUGUAAUAUGAGGUUUAUGUGAGGUUUAAGUAAUGUAAAUAUCAUACCACAGUGUUUUUCUACAUAGUGCUCAGGAAGUGGUAGUUGCUGCCAUGUAUUACUAUGAUUAUUAUUGUUUCAUUCUAAAAGGAGGUAGAAGUAAAGGCAAAGAUGGGGGAAGUGAGCGUAAUAUGAGUUAUGUGGGGUGGGAGGAGGACAAUGAAGGAGGCAGAGAUGAAACUGGCUUGGCUAAACUGAAGAGGGCAGUCUAGGUAGUGGUAAGAAAUGAAGUUGUGUCAGUGGAGAGUUGGAUCCUAUUACGCCUGUUACCUGUUGCUGUCGAGUCGAUUCCAAUUCAUAGUGACCCUGUAGGACACAGUAGAGCUGCCCCAUAGGGUUUCCAAGGAGCAGCUGGUGGAUUCAAACUGCUGACCUUUUGGUUAAGCAGCCUGAGCUCUUAACCACCGCACCACCAGGCCUCCAGAUCCUAUUAUGGAGGGCUUUAAAUGCUAGGGAGCACUCAUCAAUGACAUAAUAGACGCGAUGCAUUGCUGUUGUUGGAUGCCAUCGAGUAGAUUCCAACUCUGUGACCCCAUGUGACAGAGUAGAACUACCCCAUAGGGGGUUUUUUUGGCUGUAAUUUUUGUGGGAGCAGAUCACCAGGUCUUUCUCACAUGAAGUAACUGGAUAUGUUCAAACCACCAAUCUUUCACUUAGCAGCCGAGUGCUUAACUGUUUGCACCACCAAGCCCAAGCCAAUUGCCUUUGAGUUGAUUCCAACUCGUGGUGACCCUAUAGGACAGAGUAGAACUGCCCCCAUUGGGCUUCCAAGGCUGCAGAUCUUUACGGAAGCAGACUUUGACAUUUUUCUCCUGAGGAGUGGCUGGUGGGUUCGAGUCGUGAACCUUUUGGUUAGCAGCCAAGCGCUUAACCACUGUGUAAGCAGGGCCCUUUAAAGAAUUGCUAUAGCUAAAGUUUUAGGUGGGGAGCGGGGAGGGAAGAAAACACAAAUGAGGCUUUUAGAUUCAGAAGAUAGAAAUGAAGAGAACGAAUAGGAAGAACAUGGUGAGAAACUUUCAGUAAUCCAAGUCUAAGGUAAUAGAGCUUGGACCCUGGGAAAGGUUAAAGUGGAAAUGGUGUUGACAUAAAUCUGAAGGAAUGAGAAAUCUACAAAGAAAUAAGAUGGAUGGCUGAGUGACUACUUAAGAUAUAAAAAGGAAAGCAAAAAAAAAAAAAAAAAGGAGUCAAAGAUUAUCCCCAAAUCUGAAGUUGGUUGUUGCUCCAUCUCAGUGAAAGAAAAAGAUUGGAGAGUGGUAUAGAGGACGUCAAGCACGGACUUGAGAUCAGAUGGACCUGAGUUUGAGGCCUGGCUCUGGCACAAACAAAAAAACCCAAACCCAUUGCCUUCGAGUUAACUCCAAGUCAAAGCAACACUAUAGGACAGAGUAGAGCUGCCCCAACACUAUAGGACAGAGUAGAGCUGCCCCAACACUAUAGGACAGAGUAGAGCUGCCCCACCACUACAGGACAGAGUAGAGCUGCCCCAUAGAGUUUCCAAGGAGCGCCUGGUGGAUUUGGACUGGCAACCUCUUGGUGAGCAGCCAUAGCACUUAACCACUAUGCCACCAAUGUUUCCCUGGUACCUAGUACCAGGUACAAUAUUGACUGGUGUUGAUGUUGCUUUAACCUCUUUAAACCUCAGUGCCUUAUGUAAGCUGGGGUUAAUAGUAGUGCCUCUCUGAUAAGGCUGUUGUGAGAAAUCACAAUGCUUGGGAAAGUAUUAGCACAGUUAUAGAGUCACCGUUGACACUUCUUUGUUUCACAUGGAAUAUCCAAUCCAUCUGGACACCUGCUGGGCCUCACUUUUUUAAAAAACCACACACAUGCACAUCUCAACACCUCCACACUAGCACUUUAGUGCAAGCCAGCAUCAUUUCUCACUUUAACAGCAGCAGUUGUCUCCCUGCUUCAGUCUUGGCCCCCCUUCCUCCACCUUUUCUCCACAUAACAGCCAGGAGCCUUUUAAAACAUGGGUUAUGUUAUUUCCGUUCUCAAAGGCUUCGGUGGCUUCUCCUCUUGUAGAAUAAAAUCCUUCACGUUCUAGCUCUGGGCCACCUCAUCCAUAAACCACUUCCCCUGGCUUACUCUGUCAUAGUGGCUCCCUUGCUGACUCUAAGGCCUUUGCUCUGGGGCCUUUGCAUUUGUUCCCUCUACCUGAAACAUUCAUCCCCAGCAUAGCCUUAUGGCUCACUCUGUCACUUAACUUCAUUCAAGGCUCUUCAGAUGUUACCUCUUCAGAGAGUCCUUCUCUCACACCCUAACUUGCAUACCAGCCUCCUUUACAAGUUGACAUUCUUUCCCCUUACCUUUAUUUUAACUCAAAGUACUUAUUACUACCUGACAUUACAUUCUGUAUUACCUGUCUUCUCUGUUGGAAUACAAGCUUCAGGAGGGCAGGGACUUCAUACAAUUUAUUUCUGCAUCCCAGGCUCAAAGUGAGCACUCAAUAAAUGUUGGUUAAAUAAGUGAAUUAAUGAAUAAAUUUUUUUAAAUGAGCAAGUUGGAUUAUUAGGUAAUACAAUUCACAGUCUGGGAUUCAUGAACUCCAAGGGAUCUUUGAAGGUAGCAGUUUUCUAAAUUUCUAAUGUUCUAGUCAGACUAUAGGAAACCCUGGUGGCAUAGUGGUUGAGUGCUACGGCUGCUAACCAAAGGGUCGGCAGUUUGAAUCCACCAGGUGCUCCUUGGAAACUAUGGGGCAGUUCUACUUUGUCCUAUAGGGUCGCUAUGAGUCGGAAUUGACUCCACGGCACUGGGUUUGGUUUGUUUUUUUUUUCAGUCAGACUGUGCGCUCCUUCAGAACGGGGCCUGUGGUUUGCUCACAUAUGUAUCCUCAGAAUCUAGGGCAAUUCCUGGAAUACACUAAGCAUCAAUAGAGGUAUUAGAAUUAAUUAACACAGAAUUGGUAAUGUGGGCCAUAAAGAAUCACAUUCUUUCAAAGCAGUCUUUAAGAUAGCAGCAAACCUGAAAAGCAGAACAACACUGAGUGAAUUUAUGCAUAAGGACCAUAAUCACAAUUUAAAAGUAUCUUUACAUACCUGUUGUCUGUUAAUGACUAAGAAAGAUUUCCGUCACUAUGAGUGGCAUCACCUUAGAAUUUGAAGGGCACCGAGGAGGGUAUACACACAUGCGUACACACAUGUUUGGGAGUUGCGUCAAUUUACUUUGUUGUACAUUAUAUGAAAAAAAAAUUCUGUGAAAGUUUUUUUUUUAUUUAUUGUGCUUUAAGUGAAAGUUUACAAACCAAGUCAGUCUCUCAUACAAAAACUUACACACACCUUGCUAUUUGCUCCUAGCUGCUCUCCCUCAAUGAGACAGCACGUUCCUCCUCUCCUCCCUGUAAUCCCUGUGUUCAUUCAGCCAGCUCCUGUCCCCCUCUUCUCAUCUCGCCUCCAGACAGGAGUUGCCUGCAUAGUCUCAUGUGUCUACUUGAGCCAAGAAGCUCAUUCCUUACCAGUAUCAUCUAUUUAUAGUCUAGUCCAAUUCCUGUCUGGAGAGUUGGCUUCAGGAAUAGUUCCAACCUUGGGCUAACAGAGGGCCCAGGGACCAUGACCUCCAGGAUCCCUCUAGUCUCCAUCAGACCGUUAAGCCUGGUCUUUUUACAAGGAUUUAAGAUCUGCACCCCACUGUUCUCCUGCUCCAUCAGGAAUUUUUUGUUGUUUUCCCUGUUGCGGCAGUGACCAGUGGUAGCCAGGCACCAUCUAGUUCUGGUCUCAGGCUGUUGGGGUCCCUGGUUUAUGUGGCCCUUUCUGUCUCUUGGGCUCAUCUUUACCACAUGUCUUCUGUGUUCUUCAUUCUCGUUUGCUCCAGGUGGGUUGAGACCAAUUGAUGCAUCCUAGAUGGCCACUUGCUAGCAUUUAAGACCCCAGAUGCCUCUUACCAAAGUGGGAUGCAGAAGGUUUUCUUAAUACAUUUUGUUAUGCCAGUUGACCUAGAUGUCCUUUGAAACCAUGGUCCCCAAACCCCUAUCCCUGCUACUCUAGCCUUGGAAGCAUUUGGUUGUAUUCAGGAAACUUGUUUGCUUUUGGUUUUGUCCAGUUGUGCUGGCCUCUCCUGUAUUGUGUGUUGUCUUUCCUUUCACCUAAAAUAGUUAUAGUCCACUAUCUAAUCGGUGAAUACCCUUCUCUCUCCCUCCCCACCCUCAGAACCAUCAAAAAAUAUUUUCUUCUGUGUUUAAAAUUUUUUCUAGAGGUCUGUGAAAGUUUUAAAGAAUCAUAGAUUGCUUCUCUUUCAUUCAAAUAAUGCUCAUAAUUUAAGAGCCCAGGAAAAAUAAAUUCAUAAAUUAUAUAUGUGCAACUAUAUCUGACUCAACAGCACAAGACAACACUAAAGACAUUUAUAUAAGUGAGACCAGGGUAAUCUGAUAGCUGUUGGUUAUUUUUUUUAUUAUGUAAACAAAGAACCUUGGUCUGUCAAAAUUUUCAAAGGAAAUACUUUGGACAAACUAUUAUUCCCCACAGUAACAACCUAUAUACAGUUAUAUGCAGUGAUUAUAACUGUGGUUGUGCCUUUCUUAAGCAGUGGAGUUCAUUUUGACAACUUAUGUAGUAGUUAGAACUGCAUCAGAAAACUGCUUGUUUAUGUUCCAUAUUCUCUUUGGCAAAGUGUGACAUGUAGCAAGAAAAAUAGAAUCCUGGCCUGUGUUUGUAAUCAGUGCACAGGGCUGUGGCAUUAGCAUUCAGAAGAGUAUGUAAACAGUGCCCUACACUGUGUCCUGCAGUUGAACGCGUGUAAAACAGUGUAACAUCCAGAUGCCUGUGCUGUACUUCGGAGAAGAAUCAUGUUUAGUCUUUCCUGUAGCUGGUAAAAUAGGAGAUAUUGAGAAAAUGCUUGUUGAAUGAAUAAAUGAAUAGAUACCAGAUCCUUAAUUAAAGAAGCUACCAUUUACUUCUGGUUUUCCUUUUCUGCAAAUGUGUAUAUGAACAGAUUCAAAGUUUGUUGUCAGUUUUGCAUCCUUUCUGUUUUCAAUAAUAUCAUCAUCAACAGAAAUAAAGGCACUAAAAUAAAAUCUUUGUUGAUUCUGAUUACUUGAUCAGAAAGACUAAACUAGGAUGUACUGAAGUUCUUAUUUUGAUAAAAUCAAGUUUAAAGAAUUUUCAGUUAAAAACUGUAAGUUCAUAUAUCCAGCAAUCAUGUUCCUUGGUAUUUAUCAAUAUUAUAAAAUGGGCAUUUCUAUUUCCAAGGUGUUGCCAAGACCUUUCUUCCUCUCUAAAAUUUUCUCUUCCUUUUUCCUUUUAUCUGUCCUUUAAGACCUAGUUCAGAUUGUUUGAUUUGUUCAUUCAGUAAAACCAACUGAGUACCUACUAUAUGCAGUGCUGUCUGGAAUGCUGGGUAUAAUGGAUUGAAUUAUGUCUCCCAAAAGUGUUUAACUUGGGUAGGCCAUGAUUCCCAGUAUUCGGUGGCUAUCCUCCAUUUUGUGAUUGUAAUUUUAUAUUAAAGAGGAUUAUGGUGGGAUUAUAACACCCUUACCAGGUCACAUCCCUGAUCCAAUAUAAUGGGAGUUUCCCUAGGGUGUGGCCUCUACCACCUUUUCUCUCUCAAGAGAUAAAAGGAAAGGGAAGUAAGCAGAGAGUUGGGGACCUCAUACCUCCAAGAAAGCAGCACCUGGAGCAGAGCUCGUCCUUUGGACCUGAGGUUCCUGUGCUGAGAUGCUCCCAGACCAAGGGACAACUAACAAGAAGGACCUUCCCCCAGAGCCGAGAGAGAGAAAACCUUCCCCUGGAGCUGGCGCCCUGUAUUCAGACUUCUGGCUUACUGGACUGGGAGAAAAUGAACUUCUCUUUGUUAAAGCCAUCCACUUGUGGUAUUUCUGUUAUAGAAGCACUAGAUGACUAAGACACUGGGGAAUCUAAGAAGAACAAGCUCCUGUCCUCAUGUAAUUUAUAUUCUGGUGGAAAAAAACACAAUACAAAAUAAAACAUUAAAUAUUUGUGGUGCUAAAAAUAUGAAGCACAGGAAACUAGGAUAACAUAUAAUAUGGGAAAGGACCUGGUCUGAGGGAUAAGGAAAGCUCUCUUGAGAAAGUGCUUGUUAACUGAGUUUGAAAGAUGAAUGAGGGGCUAGAAUGGGGUCAAGGGAGGUUGUCUUACUUUGUUAGUGCUGCUAUAACAGAAAUACUGCCAAGUGGGUGGCUUUAACGAACAGAAAUUUAUUUUCUCAUAUAUUAGGAGGCUAGAAGGCCUAUUUCAGGACAUGGGCUGUAGGGGAAGGCUCUCCCUCUGUAGGCUCUGGGGGAAGAUCUUAGUCUCUUUCAGCAUCUGUUCCUUGGUGAGCUUCACAUGGCAUUACCUUCCUAGUUUGUCCUUGCUUCCUUCUCAGUGCCUAAUCUAUU
Loxodonta africana (African savanna elephant) is the source of this 13764-nucleotide long non-coding RNA. RefSeq lists it as uncharacterized. The transcript is spliced from 3 exons. Lineage: Eukaryota; Metazoa; Chordata; Mammalia; Proboscidea; Elephantidae. The record is from RefSeq and is a predicted model, not a curated record.